AUUUUAAUGUAAGUAUGUUCCAUGCAAUAUUUGGGACAUACUUAUACUAAGC
Pongo abelii (Sumatran orangutan) is the source of this 52-nucleotide non-coding RNA. The record is from Rfam. Lineage: Eukaryota; Metazoa; Chordata; Mammalia; Primates; Hominidae.